Molecule: ribosomal RNA, 1313 nt
Filed under: metagenome
Description: bacterial LSU rRNA
Rfam family: Bacterial large subunit ribosomal RNA
Source: RNAcentral
GUGAAGAGAUAUGUUCAGCUGAUUCUCCGCUGACUAGAAAAACCUCUAGCGAACAAAAAAGUGAUCGUACCGCAAACCGACACAGGUGGGCGAGUUGAGAAUACUAAGGCGUUGAGAUAGCUCUCAUUCAGGAACUCGGCAAAAUAGCCUCGUAACUUCGGGAGAAGAGGUGCCAAUGUCGUCAUCUUAUGAGAGUAAGAGAAGCGAUUGUUGGUUGCAAUAAAGAGGUCCAAGCGACUGUUUAACAAAAACACAGGGCCAUACAAACUCGCAAGAGGAAGUAUAUGGUCUGACGCCUGCCCAGUGCUGGAAGGUUAACAGGAGAUGUUAGUUCUUCGGAGCGAAGCAUUGAAUCGAAGCCCCAGUAAACGGCGGCCGUAACUAUAACGGUCCUAAGGUAGCGAAAUCCCUUGUCGGGUAAGUUCCGACCUGCAUGAAUGGCGUAACGACUUGGACGCUGUCUUGAUGAGAGACUCAGUGAAUUUGUAGUCCCAGUGAAAAUGCUGGGUACCCGCGAUAGGACGGAAAGACCCCGUGCACCUUUACUAUAACUUGACAUUGAUUUUUGGAUUGGCAUGUGUAGGAUAGGCGGGAGACGGUGAAGUCAUGGCGCUAGCUGUGACAGAGUCAAUGGAGAAAUACCGCUCUUGUUCGUUUGAAAAUCUAACUUUUUUCCGUAAUCCGGAAGAAGGACGUUGUCUGGUGGGUAGUUUGACUGGGGUGGUCGCCUCCCAAAAUGUAACGGAGGCGUUCAAAGGUUCCCUCAAGGCGAAUAGAAAUCGUCUUUAGAGCGCAAAAGCAUAAGGGAGCUUGACUGCGAGACAUACAGGUCGAGCAGGUGCGAAAGCAGGAUUUAGUGAUCCAGUGGUUCCGCAUGGAAGGGCCAUUGCUAAACGGAUAAAAGGUACGCCGGGGAUAACAGGCUUAUCUCCUCUAAGAGUCCAUAUCGACGAGGAGGUUUGGCACCUCGAUGUCGGCUCAUCGCAUCCUGGGGCUGGAGAAGGUCCCAAGGGCUUGGCUGUUCGCCAAUUAAAGCGGUACGUGAGCUGGGUUCAGACCGUCGUAAGACAGGUCGGUCCUUAUCCAUCGUGGGCGUAGGAUAUUUGAGAGAAGCUGUCCCUAGUACGAGAGGACCGGGAUGGACAAACCUCUGGUGUUCCGGUUGUUUACCAAAAGCAAAGCCGGGUAGCUAGGUUUGGAUGAGAUAACCGCUGAAAGCAUCUAAGUGGGAAACUCACCUCAAGAUAAGAUAUCCCGUUUAUGCAACUUCGGUUGCAUAACAUUAAGACCCCUUGAAGACUACGAGGUUGAUA